This is a long non-coding RNA of Carassius auratus (goldfish), 2750 nucleotides long. The record is from Ensembl. Lineage: Eukaryota; Metazoa; Chordata; Actinopteri; Cypriniformes; Cyprinidae.
AUCUUUCGCGUUCUCUGUGUUUUCCUUUCCAGCACUCUCAUCUGGCUACACCGAUUUUGUUCAUCUCGCCUCGCCAUGUAUAUUUGUGCAUUUUUUCCCAUCGAUGGUCUGUUGUUGUUUUCUUGUGAUGAAUGAAAUGCUCCCAAACAUCAAAUAGCAUUGGCGUGAAGCACUGAAAACUGCAUAGCUGUUUGAAAAGGACCGCUACUCUGUGGUCUUUGUGCUUCCCUUUUCAUCCUGCUUAGAAUGGGCAGCGUAUUGGACAGCGCUCAGCUUUGUUUUCGUUUUGAAGCUUAUUGCAUUUUUGCAAUCGUCACCCCAAGGUUCAUCACACCUUGUGAUAAUAUCCAGUUCCGUUCCUAAUGUUUACUUUGCAAUUAGGAGCAAAUCACUCAUGCCUGUGGGGUCUGUUGCUAUAGUUACAAUAGGGUUCUGAGGUCUAUCAUCUGGUCCUUGCGUCCACCAAUCAGGUUGCAGAGCUGGAGCUGCAACAUAAAGUAAAGAUGCACAUCUUUCAGCAACACAGUAGUAAGAAACAGAAAGAGAUUCAUGAGUAUAAGAAAGUACUCUGGGGUGGCAAGUAGGCGACUGCGCCCAGUCAUGGCGGACCACAGAAAUCACAGCGGAGGAGACACCCAGCAGGAGAGGCAGAUUCGAAUGGGGACAGUGAAUUACCUGGAAUGGACCGUUUCUUUGUGGACAUUCGCCUUGGAUUCUCUGAAAAAGAGGAGGAUGCAGUUUUUACAGGAACUUGAUCUAGUUAAUGGUAUUGAAAUGGAAUCUUCUGUCAAUGGAGGGAGAGCUGGGGGAAGCCAGAAAACGCAAGACAGAAACUUACCGUUUCAUCAGGUAAUCGGUUUACCUUUUUUAUUCAUGUUAACGGACUGAAUUAUGGGAACAAAACAAAUGUUAAGUGCAGAUAUAUAGUUAGGAAUUGCAAUGUCUUGAUAAUAAAUGUAUUUACAAUACUGUGCGUAUGUGUAUACAGUGUAUAUAUAUAUAUAUGUUGUAUACACACACACACACACACACACACACACAUAAAAAAAAGUCAUUUCAUAAUAAAAAAAAAAAAAAAACACCUACCAAACCCAAACUUUUGAACUGCAGUGUAUCUUGUAUACAAAAAAAAGAAAAGGAAAUGAAAAAGGAAUUGUUCAUUUGGCAUGGUCAUCAAAAUUUCCUACAUUUUUGGUAAUCUUGACUUGGCAAACCAUGACAAAUGUUCCUUUAAUGUUCUUUUGUGAAAGUUAAGGUGUGUCAAAUUCCGAGAUGAAUGCCUAACUACACCCAGUCUUGAUUUCCCAUGAGCAGUUUGUAAUAUGUCAUUAAAUUCAUGGUUCCACACAAACCCCUCUUCCAUUUUCAGAUGAGCUAAUCAAAUAAAGUCAUAAAAAGGAGGAACAGGGCUUCACAUUCCAAAGGCCUUUGAUCUUUUUGCAAUGAAUCCAUGAGAUUACAUGCCUGAUUAUAUCCAGGUGUUGAGUCAUAACUUCAGAGGUUCAGAGCAUACAAAGUAAUAUUCCUCUUUAAGGCCUGCUAAUUUUUUCAAAGGCAGGUUCUUUAACACUAUACAGCCCGUUCAAAGUCAUAAGAUGUGAAUUCCUUCACUGAACUAACUCAUAAAUCCAGAAUUACCUUCCACAUAUCAUUUGCAGAGGUUUUGACUCUCACAAUGUUCGCCUGUCUAUGUCCACUCUGAUGAAAUACAGUAUUUCUACCCUUCAAUAGACUAAAUAUGGGAUGAAGGAUAUUCGUAUUUCCAGUAAUGUCUGUAAGGUUUAUAAGACUUUAAAAAAAUUAUUGAACAGGAUUAUAAAGAUACUUUCUGCUGCAUGCUUUUUCAUGACUGAAAGAAAAGAGCAGUGUUUAAAUCUCUUGCAUUCUUUCUUUUACCCACGUUGCUUUCAUCUUUUGUCAGAUGGAGAGAUACAAUGCAAAAUGUACCUCGAUUCUAAUCUCUGCUCAAACUGAGAGAGUUGAGGAGGCUUUUUCAUACUCAGGUUUUACUGUGUUAAGCUCAGGCUGGGGAUUUUAGUUUAGUUUAGUUUUUUUGGUAGGUUAAAUUGUAAUUUGAACAAUAAAUUUAUGUGUAAACAGUAUUUGAAUAUUGCACACCAAAGGAACUUACUGUAAAAGGAAGGGAUUUACUGGGUAAACUUUGUUAGAUUACUGCACCUUGAUAGCUAGAAAAUAAAGAGUUGAAAACAGAUAGCAAGUCCAAGCUGUCACGGUAGAGCCAUUAAAUGUGUCAAUGACACUGCAGAUGGAAAACUGUUGACUUCCUCAAGUUUAUAGUCCACUAUAAUUGUACUAAUCAACAAAUAUACAGCUGUGCAUGCAUACAGGACUAUCCUCUAAAUCAUACAGACACUGACACAUCUGCAGAAUGACUACAAAAUGAAUAGAUAUUAGAGGUGCACUCAGUAUGGCUUUGUCUGCAUUUAGUGUGGUUUUGGGUUGACUUAUCAGUUUGGAUGAGGUUUGUUUGCUAACUGUUGCCUCUACACACUAAAGCAGUUUAACCAUCUUUUGUUUUGUUCCUUUUCGGCUGUUUAUUUUGUGUUUUAUACUACAUAUUCUUGCAUUCACUCUUAAGAAAUGUUUCAUGUUGUUGGUGGCUCUGGUCUGGAGACGUUUUUGCAGUGUGGCAGCUGUGACUGUUGUUAAUUUCCACUCGGUGCUUGAAGUCCUGCUGUUUACCCUUGGUCUGUAUAUAUGGAAGCCGGAGGUCGUUGCUUAUGUUUCAU